Molecule: ribosomal RNA, 174 nt
Filed under: uncultured bacterium
Lineage: Bacteria
Description: partial 16S ribosomal RNA
Rfam family: Bacterial small subunit ribosomal RNA
Source: RNAcentral
UUGGACAAUGGGGGCAACCCUGAUCCAGCCAUGCCGCGUGAGUGAAGAAGGCCUUCGGGUUGUAAAGCUCUUUCAGCCGGGAAGAAAAUGCAUGGGUUAAUACCCUGUGCAGAUGACGGUACCGGAAUAAGAAGCACCGGCUAACUACGUGCCAGCAGCCGCGGUAAUAAGGGC